Molecule: transfer RNA, 76 nt
Filed under: Methylophilus sp.
Lineage: Bacteria; Pseudomonadati; Pseudomonadota; Betaproteobacteria; Nitrosomonadales; Methylophilaceae
Also listed under: 4 other names
Description: tRNA-Arg
Rfam family: tRNA
About the family: Transfer RNA (tRNA) molecules are approximately 80 nucleotides in length. Their secondary structure includes four short double-helical elements and three loops (D, anti-codon, and T loops).
Source: RNAcentral
GCCCCCGUAGCUCAGUGGAUAGAGCAUCCCCCUCCUAAGGGGAGGGUCACACGUUCGAUUCGUGUCGGGGGUACCA